Molecule: ribosomal RNA, 279 nt
Filed under: uncultured Staphylococcus sp.
Lineage: Bacteria; Bacillati; Bacillota; Bacilli; Caryophanales; Staphylococcaceae
Description: partial 16S ribosomal RNA
Rfam family: Bacterial small subunit ribosomal RNA
Source: RNAcentral
CCUUUGACGUUAGCGGCGGACGGGUGAGUAACACGUGGGUAACCUACCUAUAAGACUGGGAUAACUUCGGGAAACCGGAGCUAAUACCGGAUAAUAUUUCGAACCGCAUGGUUCGAUAGUGAAAGGUGGUUUUGCUAUCACUUAUAGAUGGACCCGCGCCGUAUUAGCUAGUUGGUAAGGUAACGGCUUACCAAGGCGAUGAUACGUAGCCGACCUGAGAGGGUGAUCGGCCACACUGGAACUGAGACACGGUCCAGACUCCUACGGGAGGCAGCAGCG